UAUGCCUACGGGGCGCAGCAGUAGGGAAUUUUCGUCAAUGGGCGCAAGCCUGAACGAGCAAUGCCGCGUGAACGAGGAAGGUAUUCGGAUCGUAAAGUUCUGUUGAAGGGGAAAAAGAGCGGAGAGAGGAAAUGGUCUCCGAUUGAUAUUACCCUUCGAGGAAGUCACGGCUAACUACGUGCCAGCAGCCGCGGUAAUACGUAGGUGGCGAGCGUUAUCCGGAAUGAUUGGGCGUAAAGGGUGCGUAGGCGGUUCACUAAGUCUGAUGUGA
RNAcentral lists this ribosomal RNA (271 nucleotides) under uncultured bacterium. RNAcentral's name for it is "partial 16S ribosomal RNA". It matches the Rfam family "Bacterial small subunit ribosomal RNA", at positions 334 to 597 of the family's 1533-position model. The record is from RNAcentral.